GUCUACGGCCACACCACCCUGAACAAGCCCGAUCCCAUCUGAUCUCGGAAGCUAAGCAGGGCUGGGCCUGGUUAGUACUUGGAUGGGAGACCACUUAGGAAGACCAGGUGCUGUUGGCA
RNAcentral lists this ribosomal RNA (119 nucleotides) under Pteropus alecto (black flying fox). The record is from RNAcentral. Lineage: Eukaryota; Metazoa; Chordata; Mammalia; Chiroptera; Pteropodidae.